This 506-nucleotide ribosomal RNA is filed under the name uncultured bacterium. RNAcentral's name for it is "partial 16S ribosomal RNA". It matches the Rfam family "Bacterial small subunit ribosomal RNA", at positions 29 to 523 of the family's 1533-position model. The record is from RNAcentral.
AGUGAACGCUGGCGGUAGGCCUAACACAUGCAAGUCGAACGGCAGCACAGGAGAGCUUGCUCUCUGGGUGGCGAGUGGCGGACGGGUGAGGAAUACAUCGGAAUCUACUCUGUCGUGGGGGAUAACGUAGGGAAACUUACGCUAAUACCGCAUACGACCUACGGGUGAAAGCAGGGGAUCUUCGGACCUUGCGCGAUUGAAUGAGCCGAUGUCGGAUUAGCUAGUUGGCGGGGUAAAGGCCCACCAAGGCGACGAUCCGUAGCUGGUCUGAGGGGAUGAUCAGCCACACGGGAAAUGAGACACGGUCCAGACUCCUACGGGAGGCAGCAGUGGGGAAUAUUGGACAAUGGGCGCAAGCCUGAUCCAGCCAUACCGCGUGGGUGAAGAAGGCCUUCGGGUUGUAAAGCCCUUUUGUUGGGAAAGAAAUCCAGCUGGCUAAUACCCGGUUGGGAUGACGGUACCCAAAGAAUAAGCACCGGCUAACUUCGUGCCAGCCGCCGCCGUAA